This 1456-nucleotide long non-coding RNA is filed under the name Homo sapiens (human). RNAcentral's name for it is "HSALNT0012083". The record is from RNAcentral. Lineage: Eukaryota; Metazoa; Chordata; Mammalia; Primates; Hominidae.
AGCUGGUGUGAUGAUUUGCCCUUUACUGAUGGCCUUCUCCUCAUCUUACUUUCCCAUCCUGUCCUUGAAUCAUCCAUUUCAGGAUCUGCCUCUGAAAGAACCCAAACUAAGGCAGUCAAUCCACCACAGACAGACAAGGAAAUAGAAGCAGAGCGUUUUAUUUAGAGAUUAUGGAGGAAAAUACGAAAAGAAGCAACUAACAGAACUGCAGGUCAUUACCUCUAGGGACCAAGACUAGAGGUGGGAAGGGGCGGAAGAGGAGACCAUGCUUUUAAAUAUAUGCAUGGCAUGUGCUACUUUAAUAUAAUUAAAAACAAUCACUUAAAGCAAAUUGGAACAGUGUAACAAAUGAAAUCAAAUGAAAUCAAAAGGAGAGAGCACAAAUAUAUCUGAGUAACUUGGUCUGUCCCCCAGCCCCCUUAAUGUUGUUACCUGAAUAUGUCAAUUGUUGUCAAAAGACAAGCAUAAACUGAAAUCGAUUAUUGUAUGGAUCUGAACCGAUGGAAAAUAUUCUCUGUACAGCAAUUUUAAAAGUAUAAUGGUAAUCACUGUGUUAGGGAUUAAGUAUACUUCCCACCCUGUGUUUUUGCCAUUGUAUAGGAAAAAUCAUGCAGAAUACAUUGAUAAUCACUGUAGAAAUGAGAUGAGAUUUAUUAACUAAAACACUUAGCACUUCACCUGGCACUACUUUAUGAAGAAGCACUUUGUAUAGGGCACUAUGUGUAGUUUAUAUAUAUAAAGAAACAUUUGUGUAUUGGGUUUGAAUGUUACUUGUUGUUGUUGAAUAUUCUUCUGCUAGUCCACCCUGUCCCUGAUGGAAGCUAUGCCCCCGGAUCAGAAACGCUUGAUGCUCAAGCGGUCCUGGGAAACCACUAUUGCAAGUAACUGUCAGUGCCCUCUACUUUCCACUAGAUGGCAGACUUCCCCCAGCUCUGUGGACGGCAGAUACCCAGGAGAGGAGGACAGAGCUUCAGAUCUUUGCUUUCUCCCUUUCCCUUGACCUGGAAAAUCACUGGGCUGCCUCUGAGGCCAGAUUUAGAUUUCCUGCACAAGCCAUCAUUACCUUGUUUAGAGGAGUGAAAUUAGGGUCGACCUGUCCUGUCAUUCCAGGACAGAAGGUGACAAAUAAGGUCCUUUAUGUGUAGCACUGAGGAGAAGGGCUUGUUCUUAAUUUUUAAGAUAUUUUCCAAAAAUAGAAAAAUUCUGUUUUACAAGUCAAAUAAGAAAUGAUUGAAAAACAAGUAUCACUGUUCAUAUACAGAGUCGUAGGUAAAUGUUCAGAUACAAAAAUUGUGACCAUAGAGCAUAUUUUUGGAUAUUUGUUUUCAUAGUGUGAUGAAUAUUUUUGUUUGCUUAAAAUUAUUUCAGAAGUAUAAUCAUAAUUCAAGCUUGAAAUACAAGAGUGGUAAAAUGAGAGCAAAAAUAAACAAGUAAUAAAACGCACCACAAAAUUUCU